GAUGAACGCUAGCGGCAGGCCUAAUACAUGCAAGUCGAGGGGUAGAGCUAGCUUGCUAGCUUGAGACCGGCGCACGGGUGCGUAACGCGUAUGCAACCUACCCUUUUCUGGGGGAUAGCCCGGAGAAAUCCGGAUUAAUACCGCAUAAGACCACGAUACGGCAUCGUGAUGUGGGCAAACAUUUAUGGGAGGAGGAUGGGCAUGCGUGCCAUUAGCUAGUUGGCGGGGUAACGGCCCACCAAGGCGACGAUGGCUAGGGGAUCUGAGAGGAUGGCCCCCCACACUGGUACUGAGACACGGACCAGACUCCUACGGGAGGCAGCAGUAAGGAAUAUUGGUCAAUGGGGGCAACCCUGAACCAGCCAUGCCGCGUGCAGGACGACGGCCCUCCGGGUUGUAAACUGCUUUUGUACGGGAAUAAACCCCGCUACGUGUAGCGGGCUGAAUGUACCGUAAGAAUAAGGAUCGGCUAACUCCGUGCCAGCCGCCGCCGUAA
This 496-nucleotide ribosomal RNA is filed under the name uncultured bacterium. RNAcentral describes it as "partial 16S ribosomal RNA". It matches the Rfam family "Bacterial small subunit ribosomal RNA", at positions 28 to 523 of the family's 1533-position model. The record is from RNAcentral.